UCCGUCUCCACACCUCAGACCACCCUGCCCUUCAUCCCGUAAAUUGUGCCCCAAGCCCUGAAGACAGAUCUGAGGGCACAUGCCCCGUCUCCUCGCAGAUUGGUCUCGCAAUAUACAGCUACAUUUCUUCUCCCAAAAGCUGAUGACAUAAUAAUUGGCUUUUUUUAUGCACAAUGGGCAAGAGAAUCCCAAUUUUGUGUGGUAACACUACUACUCAGGAAUAAAAAAGUAAUGGACUAAUGAAACAUGGAGCAACACAAACAUCCAAAACGUACAGUGAGUAAAAGAUGCCAGAAACACACAUACAUACAUUAUUAUUUCAUUUAUAUGAAGAUUUAGAACAUCCAAAACUAUCUCAAGUGAUAGAAAUCACAUCAUUGUCUGCCUGGGACAGAGGUCUGUGCGGGAACUUAGUGCAAAGUGGCACAAAGCACUGAGGUGGUGGGUACCUUCUAUAUUAAUUGAGGUGUUAGUUACACAGGUAUAUCAUCUGUUAAAACACAUCAAAUGACGUGUGCAUUUUAUUAAAUGUAAAUUAUAUUUCAAUAAAGUUGAUUAAAAAAUAAAGUUGAAGAAAACAGCAGAAAAAAUGCCACCAAAGAAAUUUUUAGAUAUACUGAGAUGUGUAUCAAAAUUAAUAACUAUAUCUUAUUUCCAAAACUACAUAGAUCCAGACAGUAAACUGAAGAAAGAAUCAUUGACCAUGUACUGUCUACCAUUCAUUCACUGUGCGAGGCACUGUCAAGUCAAAAUCUAAUUGUCAGAUGAUCAGUGUUUCUUAUCACUUCUUACAGUCCAGAUAAAAUGUGUACAAAAUUCACUGAGGGGGUAUGACUACUAAAGGACAACAUUAUUCACUGAUAUGAUGAAAUUAUUAGGGAUAGUUUUCUGUUAUUUCUAUACAGCAUCUGUUGGAACUGUGAAAGUGAUGGUAAAAUGAUGAAAAUCAAGACAGCAGAAGAAAAGAGGUGGUUAAACUCAUGCCAUUUAGGACUGCCACACUGUAUAACUCACUCAAGUUGCUAAGAUUUUAUUGAACUGUAUCUCCAUAUUUUAAUACUAUAAAAUAUUAGAUGGGAAACUCUGAGGAGCCCUGAUUUAGGAUGGGGGAAGGAAAAAAAAAAAUUAGUUCUUCAAGUUUUAAGAAAAUUCUAAUAAUCCAAAGCUCCAUGAACUUUUCUUUCUCUUUUGCCCAAAUCUCAUAUCGCGACAGUUCUGUCUGAGCUUGAAUGGCAAAUUUUAAAUGUCAUUCAGGACCAAUUGAAUACCACUUGUAUUUGCAUUCCUUAAAAAGUGGAAAAACAUUAACCUUUUGUUUUAUUGAAUUAAAAUGCCACGGAAAUGCUGAUGUAGUCUUGGGAGACUGGAAUACUUUCACAAAGAAGAAUAGCUGUCAUUUAUUAAACACAAAGAACAAUUACUUGAUAGGAUGCCUUCUGACAAAAAGCAGAUUGGUAUUCUCAUCAUAGAAAAGGCAUUAUAAAAAAAAAUCUAGCCAAGACCUCUGAGACUUGAAUAAUUUAAAGCUGCAUUUGGUGCAAUUUGAAUUUUUCUUUAGGGAGGCAAAGUUAAAUACCUUUAAUUUGUUCUAAUUAUUUCAAAUUUGCAAGUUAAUUAUGGCUGAUCAUUAAAUAACAAAAAGGACUAUCGUCUCCAUAGAGUUUUACCUCCUACCCUCUGCAUUACUUAAGCUAGAUUUUAGUAUGCAUGAAUUAACUUUCUAAAUAAUCACACGGUUUGACUAAAUGGCUCAGUAAAAUGAGCUCUGAUCCUCAGAAUAAGCAUUAAUGGACAUUAGAAAUGCUAUUGGGACUCAUGUUACUUACAUUAUAAGUAUUUUUAAUAGGGCCUUAUUUACUAAUCUUUAUGUACUGUUCGAGUUAGAAUACCAUACAGAUACAUUAUUCUGCUUUACUGGAGGAAAAGUCCAAUCUUUGAGACAAUAAAAACAAAUGUCCAUUUAACACCAAAUAAAUUCAUUUUGAAAUUAAUGAAGGGAUAUGACGAUGGAUUUUAACUUGUUUUAGCUGUUCGUCUCAAUGAAUCAAUCUAGCAAAAAUGGUCUGCUUGGUCUGUAAAUGGAAUAUUAUGGAUCCACUGAUGCUAAGUGAUUCAAGCAGCAAAAGGAGGUCCAAUGAGCCAGUAUUUAAAUUCCACCAGCUACUUCGAAGAAAGAAUUCAUUGUUUCUUGUGUUGUGAGAAUUUCUAGUUACCAUUUAUGUGCAUACUUGGCUACCAACAAAUGUGAAGCCAGAUGGCAUAUAACCCUACUGCUUAGAACUCUUAAAAACAGUUUUCCUAAAUGUCCCCACUAAAUCUUCAUAUUCCUCAGGGAUGGACCUAUUAAUGAACAAAAUAUUCUAAGACCAAAGAGUUUAAAGAACAAAAUUUCAAAAACAAAAUCUCCAUAUGCUGUCAGAACUUUCUAUUUUCCCACUCCAAAAUCAUCAAUACAAAUUUUAUUUUCACAUAUCCAAUAAACAUUAUCUGAGAGCCUACUAGGUGUCAGUUCUGUGUUUGGGCAUGGGAAUACACAAAGGAACAAGUGAUUACCUUUGAAUAUGUACAAGUAAACAAGAAGAGAGAGCCAGCUCGACAAUGAAUACAUAAUGUGGCAGGUGUUAUGAUGGCAGUAUACCACCAUAGGCAUAAGGGCGAGAGGGAGCUGAUAAAUAUGACAGGAAGCUUGCAAGAAAGGAACGGGGAAUCAUAAGAGGAUGAGGUAAAAAAAAAAAAAAAUCACUAAAAAGGAAUGAUAAUUUACUAGCAUACACUAUGUAAAAGACACUGGCAUGGUUCCUGGCUCCAAAAGAUGUGGCCAUCCUAGUAAAGAAUUUACUUAUGGGAAUAUGCCAAAUCCCUUAGGUGUGCUGGGUAGCAUAAAGGUCUCUGGAAGACAACAGGUACUUCAGAGGCAGAAAAGAUAUAAUUUAGAUGUGCUUGGCAUAGGAAAGAGAGGAGUCUGACCCUGAGGAGUAGCUAGAGCAGCACAGUAGUUUAGAAUAUUAGCUUUAGUGUCAGACACAACUGGGUACUGGAUAGCUAAUUAUAAGUUCUGAUAGAUGUGAUUUCUCAAGCGAGUUACUUAACCUCUCUGGGCCUCAUUUCCUCAUUUAUAAAGUGAAGUUAAUAAUAGUAUGUAACUCAUAAGGUUGUUGUGAGGAUGAAAUGAAUUAACAUAUGUACGAUAUGCAAAGGGAUGCCUAGCUCAUAAAUACUACCUAAGUGUUAGCUUCCAUUAUUAUCAUUAUUCUUAUUACUACUAAGUGAGGCAACAUUUAAAAGACUUAGAGCAAUAUCUAGUACACAGUAGGUAUUCAAUAAGUUAUUACAGACUAGCUGAAUAGGCAGAUGGCAUAAUUGCUGAGAAUUAUAGAGAAAGAGUAGGUCAUUGGGUUGGGGGAGUGGGUAACUGAAUUGGAUCUGAAAACCUUGAAUUUGAGGGACCUAUAAAUCAUUUGGGCUAGAUAAUGUUAUCAUACAGUUAUAAGAAUAGGUUUGGACGUCAGGAGGGAAAAGCUGAUACCUGAGAUAAAGAUUUUAGAGUUAUCGUCAUUGAGAUAUGAUCUAAAUUCAUGGGAAUGAAUUAAAUUUCCCACAGAGAGAAGUCUAUUGAUAUCUAAACAGUAGGUAGAGGCAAAGGAAGCAGUAAAAUACUUUGCAGGGAGGGGAAGCAAAAGCCAACAGGGCCAGAAUCUCCGACAGGGAGACAAGCAGAGAGAGAAAAAAGGAUAGUGUCAAAAAAACAAGGAAAUGAAAGAGAUAUCAGAAAGGUUAGCUGGCUAUUGACAAGUCAAGUAAGAUGAAGGCUGAAAAAAAGUACAAAGAUUUGGGAAUUGGGAGGAUGCUUAUGACCAUGGGGAACACAGUUUUAGUUGAGUGAUACAUAGGUGAGGAAUAAAUGGAAGUGAGGAAGUGGAAGCAGAGAUGUAGAUUGUGCUCUCAAGAAGUUUGGAAAAAAGAAUGGAAAGAUAGGGCAGUGUUGCAAUAGUAAGGCAAAGAUGAAGGUAUUUCUUUUUUUUUUUUUUAAGGAGAAGGAUCUUCGAGCAUGUAGAAAAUGAGCCUGAAGACGUAUGACAAGAGGUAUUGAUGCAGCGAAAUUGCUAGGAAAAUAGGAAGGGAAUGUGACUGAGGCACUGACGCAGGAGACUUUGGAUUUGAGAUCCCUCUGGGAACGCUAAGCAAUGGCACCUGAUGGGCACUUUAAAAUGCGAACUCUGGAGAGGUCAGUGCUUCACACAAGGAUGUGACCCUCACCAUACAAUUAGAGACUAGGGCAGACCUCAUUUUUAGUGAUGGUACACUUUACACUUGAAGAUGUCACCAGAUCUUAAUUUGCUCCCUCACCAAAGGGAAUGUAGCUAGAAUUUCAUUAAUUAUAAUAUCUUUAUUUUAAUUCUUCCCACAAGAAAAAGCAACAGAGUUAAGAAAAAGAGAAUGGGAAUGAAGCUGUGCUAAAUAAAACACUGUGCUGUAGGCAUCACCAAAUCCCUAAUUUGAGGGAUUUGCUCUGAUUCCAGAAAUGCCUUCAGAAUUUCUCUAUGGUAUCCAACAAGGAAAAUAGCUCUUUAAGUCAAUUAAUGUAUAUUUAAAUGUAGAAUGUGUACUUUUUUUUAACUUUUUAAAAGUAUGUAAGAGAAGGUUAACAUUUGGGAAGAUGAAAAUGUCAGUUUAAUAUAAACUAAGAGAUGCAGGUAUAAACAAAACUACGAAGAUUGUCCACUACACAAUCAGUUUCCUAAGAGCAGAUACCACGCCCCACUCUUCUCUGAAUCUCUAACAAUGCCUUCCAAGGGGAUGUACACAGAAAAGAGGCCCAACAUACAUCUACUGAAGAGAUGAUUAUAAUUUGGAAAGCAUUUGUGGGAUUAAAACAACAGGACACUGAGUUAGUUAACUGUUAUCUCUUCCUUGCAUUGUAGACCAAUCACAGUCAUUCCUAGAUUGAUAAUCUAUAUUUUAAUUUCAUCAGAGCAUGCACUUAUGAAGAUUCAAAAAUCAGGCACAAGAUGAGAAAGACAGUAUGAGGACAUGUUUAUAGUAUGCUAAAAAACAGCUUGCAAACAAAACGUCAAUACGAAAUUUUAGAAUCAAGGCCAAUCCAAUCCAAGUUACCAAAGACCUAUAAAUUAAUUGGAAAUGUUGAAAAACCUAAUGGUGGUCAGUUAAGGACUGCGAUUGAAAAUCUCCCUGAAGAAAACCAAGGUCCAACUGUGAAUCAAAACACAACCAGAGCGUUACUCUGAUACAAGCCCUACAAGCAUGGGUAUCACGACUCUCUAAUUUUUGCCAAUAUGAAGAAUGAGAAGUGACAGCUGACUGCUUUUUCCUUGAAGAGUAAGAAGUCAGUCACAUUUCCAGAGAAGUUUGAAGACGUUACAGAGAGAUCUCAUAUACCCUUCAUCGAGCUUCCCCUAAAGGUAACAUUUCACAAUACUAUGGUACUUUUAUUAAAACUAAGAAAACAGCAUUGGUACAUUACUACUAACUAAUCUCUAGACUAUUAGGAUUUCAUCAGUUUUUAUACUUAUGCCUUUGUUGUUGUUCCAGGAUCCAUUCCACAUGGCAUUUAGUCAUCAUGCCUCCUUAGUUUCCUAUGAUCUGUGACAGUUGCUCAGUCUUUCCUUGUCUUUCACGAUCUUACCUGACCAGUUUUGAGAACUAGCCAGGUAUUUUGUAUAACGUUCCUCAAUUUGUAUUUGUCUGUUGUUUCUCCUGUGUUUAGUAGAACGUUACGAGUGUUUGGGAAGAAUACUGCAGAAGUGACAUUCCCUCCUUAUCACAUUGUGUCAGGGGUUACAUGACACCAACAGGACUAAUCACUGGUGACAUUAACCUUGGUCAUUUGAAUAAGGUAGUGUUCACCAGAUUUUUCGACCAUCAAGUAUGAUUUCCCCCCUUUCCAUAUCCUAUUCCUUGAAUGUCAGUCACCAAGUCCAGCUCACACUCAAGGGGCUUGACGAUUAAGCUCUACCUCCAGGAGGGGAAAGUAUUUACUAAUGUUAUUUGGAAUUCUCCUAAGGAUUAUUGGUCCCUUCUCUCUCAUUUAUUUAUUCAUUCAAUCAUUUACUUAUAUCAGUAUAGACUCAACUACUCUUAUUUGAUACUUUGGGUUAGAGUCCAGUAUCACACUAUUUAUUUUGUUGCUCAAAUUGUUCCAGCUUAGGCCAUUGGAAGCUCUUUUAGGUUGGCUCCUCUGUCUCUUUGACAUUCCCUCAUCCUUUUGAUUUUUGAGCAUGUCCUUGCUUUCUGGCUCACAGCUCAUCUUUCAUUCUCUUUGUCCCAUCACUAUAAUUAGCCAUUUCUCUAAGGAGUCCUGGUUUCUUUUACUGGG
This is a non-coding RNA of Equus caballus (horse), 6334 nucleotides long. Lineage: Eukaryota; Metazoa; Chordata; Mammalia; Perissodactyla; Equidae. The record is from RefSeq and is a predicted model, not a curated record.